Small nucleolar RNA from Heterocephalus glaber (naked mole-rat), 127 nucleotides. The record is from Ensembl. Lineage: Eukaryota; Metazoa; Chordata; Mammalia; Rodentia; Bathyergidae.
GGGGUGUGCUCAGAGCAGGAGGCCUGAAGGAUGGCUCCCCUGUUUACAACACACCCAACAGGAAUGCAGGGUCACUGGGACAAAGGGCACACAGCUGUGUCUCCCUGCGACCAGAUGCCCUACACAC